This 462-nucleotide ribosomal RNA is filed under the name uncultured bacterium. RNAcentral describes it as "partial 16S ribosomal RNA". It matches the Rfam family "Bacterial small subunit ribosomal RNA", at positions 338 to 795 of the family's 1533-position model. The record is from RNAcentral.
CCUACGGGUGGCAGCAGUGAGGAAUAUUGGUCAAUGGGCGCGAGCCUGAACCAGCCAAGUCGCGUGAGGGAAGACGGUCCUAUGGAUUGUAAACUGCUUUUAGUUGGGAAUAAAAGGGGGCUCGUGAGCCCCGUAUUGUAUGUACCAUCAGAAAAAGGACCGGCUAAUUCCGUGCCAGCAGCCGCGGUAAUACGGAAGGUCCGGGCGUUAUCCGGAUUUAUUGGGUUGAAAGGGAGCGUAGGCCGGCUUUUAAGUCAGCUGUGAAAGUCCGCGGCUCAACCGUGGAAUUGCAGUUGAAACUGGAGGCCUUGAGUGCACACAGGGAUGCCGGAAUUCAUGGUGUAGCGGUGAAAUGCUUAGAUAUCAUGAAGAACUCCGAUCGCGAAGGCAAGUGUCCGGGAUGCAACUGACGCUGAGGCUCGAAAGUGCGGGUAUCAAACAGGAUUAGAUACCCUAGUAGUC